This 186-nucleotide unclassified non-coding RNA is filed under the name uncultured Peziza. RNAcentral describes it as "sequence contains ITS2". The record is from RNAcentral. Lineage: Eukaryota; Fungi; Ascomycota; Pezizomycetes; Pezizales; Pezizaceae.
CCCACCCACUCUCAAGUAUUCAUUUCUUGGAUGCUUGGAAAGCUUUGGAAAAGUGUCUUGUUUUAAUAGAGACACUCUCUAGAAAUUCAUAGGCAGUAUGGUUUGCACCUGAACCAGACGUAAUAAUAAUAAAAUCGUUUGUUUAGGUAUAAUUGUGCUUGCCUCCACCCACUCAUUUAUUAUAUU